This 72-nucleotide transfer RNA is filed under the name Bacteriophage sp. Its description in RNAcentral is "tRNA-Asn". It matches the Rfam family "tRNA". From Rfam's summary of the family: Transfer RNA (tRNA) molecules are approximately 80 nucleotides in length. Their secondary structure includes four short double-helical elements and three loops (D, anti-codon, and T loops). The record is from RNAcentral.
UGGCAUGUAGUUCAGUGGUAGAAUGCCUGACUGUUAAUCAGGGUAUCGUGGGUUCAAUCCCCACCUUGCCAG